This 163-nucleotide small nuclear RNA is filed under the name Rhipicephalus sanguineus (brown dog tick). Its description in RNAcentral is "U1 spliceosomal RNA". It matches the Rfam family "U1 spliceosomal RNA". Rfam says of the family: U1 is a small nuclear RNA (snRNA) component of the spliceosome (involved in pre-mRNA splicing). Its 5' end forms complementary base pairs with the 5' splice junction, thus defining the 5' donor site of an intron. There are significant differences in sequence and secondary structure between metazoan and yeast U1 snRNAs, the latter being much longer (568 nucleotides as compared to 164 nucleotides in human). The record is from Rfam by way of RNAcentral. Lineage: Eukaryota; Metazoa; Arthropoda; Arachnida; Ixodida; Ixodidae.
AUACUUACCUGGUGUCGGGCUGUCCGGUGAUCAGCGCGGCCGGGGUCCCGUGCUGAGGCUAACCAUUGCACUGCGGUUGGCUGACGCACGCCACUUUCCCAAACAGGGAUAGAUGGGGCAUGUAAUUUUUGGUAGUGGGGCUUGGCGUUCGCGCCAGCCCCUG